UAAUUGCUGGAAUAAAGGCUCUGCACC
RNAcentral lists this non-coding RNA (27 nucleotides) under Mus musculus (house mouse). The record is from RNAcentral. Lineage: Eukaryota; Metazoa; Chordata; Mammalia; Rodentia; Muridae.